UACGAAGGGGGCUAGCGUUGCUCGGAAUUACUGGGCGUAAAGGGAGCGUAGGCGGACAGUUAAGUCAGAGGUGAAAGCCCAGGGCUCAACCCUGGAAUUGCCUUUGAAACUGAUUGUCUUGAGUAUGGGAGAGGUAUGCGGAACUCCGAGUGUAGAGGUGAAAUUCGUAGAUAUUCGGAAGAACACCAGUGGCGAAGGCGGCAUACUGGCCCAUUACUGACGCUGAGGCUCGAAAGCGUGGGGAGCAAACAGG
This 253-nucleotide ribosomal RNA is filed under the name uncultured bacterium. RNAcentral's name for it is "partial 16S ribosomal RNA". It matches the Rfam family "Bacterial small subunit ribosomal RNA", at positions 524 to 776 of the family's 1533-position model. The record is from RNAcentral.